AAUGCGAGACUAGCAAUCCCAUAAACCGUGGCUCAGUUCAGAUCGUAGGCUGCAACUCGCCUACGUGAAGUAGGAAUCGCUAGUAAUCGCAGGUCAGCAUACUGCGGUGAAUACGUUCCCGGGCCUUGUACGCACCGCCCGUCACACCAUGGAAGUUGGCCAUGCCCGAAGUCGUUACUCCAACCCUUGUGGAGGAGGACGCCGAAGGUGGGGCUAAUGACUGGGGUGAAGUCGUAACAAGGUAGCCGUACCGGAAGGUGCGGCUGGAUCACCUCCUAA
Molecule: ribosomal RNA, 279 nt
Filed under: uncultured Synechococcus sp.
Lineage: Bacteria; Bacillati; Cyanobacteriota; Cyanophyceae; Synechococcales; Synechococcaceae
Description: partial 16S ribosomal RNA
Rfam family: Bacterial small subunit ribosomal RNA
Source: RNAcentral